RNAcentral lists this unclassified non-coding RNA (381 nucleotides) under uncultured bacterium. RNAcentral describes it as "contains 16S-23S intergenic spacer region". The record is from RNAcentral.
UCCGGUUUGACACCGGCAGUCUCCCUAGAGUGCCCGGCAUAACCCGCUGGUAACUAGGGACAAGGGUUGCGCUCGUUGCGGGACUUAACCCAACAUCUCACGACACGAGCUGACGACAGCCAUGCAGCACCUGUGUUCCCGUUCCCUUUCGGGCACACCCGGCUUUCACCGGGCUCCAGGACAUGUCAAGGGUAGGUAAGGUUUUUCGCGUUGCAUCGAAUUAAACCACAUGCUCCACCGCUUGUGCGGGCCCCCGUCAAUUCCUUUGAGUUUCAGUCUUGCGACCGUACUCCCCAGGCGGGGUGCUUAUUGCGUUAGCGACGGCACCGAAGGGGUCGCUCCCCCCGACGCCUAGCACCCAUCGUUUACAGCGUGGACUAC